Molecule: ribosomal RNA, 549 nt
Filed under: Diversispora eburnea
Lineage: Eukaryota; Fungi; Glomeromycota; Glomeromycetes; Diversisporales; Diversisporaceae
Description: SSU rRNA
Rfam family: Eukaryotic small subunit ribosomal RNA
Source: RNAcentral
UUGGAGGGCGUCUGGUGCCAGCAGCCGCGGUAAUUCCAGCUCCAAUAGCGUAUAUUAAAGUUGUUGCAGUUAAAAAGCUCGUAGUUGAACUUCGGGGUUUACCCAUUGGUCGGGCUUAAUUGUCUGUACUGGUGAGAUAAAUCUCUACCUUCUGAGGAACUUUCAUGUCAUUAAUUUGGUGUGAUUGGAAAUCAGGACUGUUACUUUGAAAAAAUUAGAGUGUUUAAAGCAGGCUAACGUCUGAAUACAUUAGCAUGGAAUAAUGAAAUAGGACGGAUUGAUUCUAUUUCGUUGGUUUCUAGGAUCACCGUAAUGAUUAAUAGGGAUAGUUGGGGGCAUUAGUAUUCAAUUGUCAGAGGUGAAAUUCUUGGAUUUAUUGAAGACUAACUACUGCGAAAGCAUUUGCCAAGGAUGUUUUCAUUAAUCAAGAACGAAAGUUAGGGGAUCGAAGACGAUCAGAUACCGUCGUAGUCUUAACCAUAAACUAUGCCGACUAGGGAUCGGACGAAGUUAAUUUUAUAAUGACGCGUUCGGCGCCUUACGGGAAAC